This 96-nucleotide unclassified non-coding RNA is filed under the name Epilithonimonas zeae. Its description in RNAcentral is "Chryseobacterium zeae Flavo-1 RNA". The record is from RNAcentral. Lineage: Bacteria; Pseudomonadati; Bacteroidota; Flavobacteriia; Flavobacteriales; Weeksellaceae.
UCGCAGCCCGACUUGAGUGGAGCUCUUUUUGCAAAUUCAACAAUGGAAAAAGCCUUGGGAAUUUGCAAAAAAGCGGGAGCGGAAGGCGGAUAAAGC